AUCCAAUGGACGAGUUCUGAAUAGGACGAAACACGUGUCAUGGAU
Molecule: non-coding RNA, 45 nt
Filed under: Schistosoma mansoni
Lineage: Eukaryota; Metazoa; Platyhelminthes; Trematoda; Strigeidida; Schistosomatidae
Source: RNAcentral